RNAcentral lists this ribosomal RNA (488 nucleotides) under uncultured bacterium. RNAcentral's name for it is "partial 16S ribosomal RNA". It matches the Rfam family "Bacterial small subunit ribosomal RNA", at positions 28 to 507 of the family's 1533-position model. The record is from RNAcentral.
GACGAACGCUGGCGGCGUGCUUAACACAUGCAAGUCGAACGCGCCUGUCCUCUGGGUUUCUGGGGGGUGGGUGAGUGGCGAACGGGUGAGUAACACGUGAGUAACCUGCCCCCUUCUUCGGGAUAACGGUCUGAAAGGGCUGCUAAUACCGGGUAUUCACUGGUCUCCGCAUGGGGUCUGGUGGAAAGGUUUUUUUCUGGUGGGGGAUGGGCUCGCGGCCUAUCAGCUGGUUGGUGGGGUGAGGGCCCACCAAGGCUUUGACGGGUAGCCGGCCUGAGAGGGUGACCGGUCACAUUGGGACUGAGAUGCGGCCCAGACUCCUACGGGGGGCAGCAGUGGGGAAUAUUGCGCAAUGGGCGCAAGCCUGAUGCAGCGACGCCGCGUGAGGGAUGGAGGCCUUCGGGUUGUGAACCUCUUUCGCCCGUGGUCAAGCCGCGACGUGGGUCGUGGUGAGGGUAGUGGGUAAAGAAGCGCCGGCUAACUACGUG